AGAGGGGGACCUCGAUUUCGGUUUCGUGGGAGGUUCAAUGUCAUAGCCAAGAAACCGGGGGGCGGGGGGAGGCGGGAGGCGGGAAACCAAAACUGUGCCAUUAACAAAUUGUGGUUGAGUGAAGAUGAGAGUACUAAACGAUGAAAUACCUUGCUGACUUUGAUAACAGAAGGAGGUAACCGUACAUAAAUAUAUUACAUCCUAUAUCCGAAUAAGGUGUGCUUUUUCUUUCGAACGCUAGUUUUAUAUGCAAAAAUCUCCUAAACACAUACAUAUUUACUAUAUAUUUACGAGUGGUAUGUUGAGGAUAAAUAUGGAUCUUUAUAUUUGCAAAUCCGCGAAUCUUCUACCACAGGAAACGCACCUUUAGAUCUGUUAACUACUUCCAACCAACUGCUUGGCCAAUUUAAUAUACUCCCCAAUUAAGGGGGAUCUGCACACUACGAGUAUAUGGCAUUGUGAGGCCCACUUGGCUUACACACCUUGGCAUUGAUAAUCACAGUUCGUAAAGUAAUCCAUCGUUAUAACCUACCUCAACUAAAACUGUGUAUAGUUACUGACCAGGGUACCCAUUCCCUUGAUCGUUCUUAUCGCAUGGGGGAAAAUUCCAUGUGAAACAAGCACAGCUAGCAUCGUCAUCCCAUUCAUCCUCGAAGCGAGACACAGCAACAGAUCAACAGCAACAACCACAUCAAUGUUAAUGCCAUUCGUCUGCAGCGACAAGAUCAAUGCACUCUCUGCGACACAAGCUGCAAUUAAAAGCUCAUCUUCUGUCGCUCUUUUGAUGAUUUCUGAUUUCCCUCUCGCUACAAAGCUCAACCUCAAGUAGGCUGCUGAUAAGCUUGCAUCUACUUAUGAAGGUUAAUUAACUACAAUCAGAAUUCGCAAGUGAGACUUUUGCGAACGUUAAUCGUGUAAUAAGAACUAAUUUAUUGUCGAAUUUAGUUCCAAUAAGUCAAUUCUUUUGUAAAAUACCGACAUGGAAAAACGAUUGGGAAUUCGACUUCCUUAAUAUCUAAGAUCCAUUUUCACCAUACAAAAUUUAAACGAUUUGCUUCUGAUCGUAUUCACCAACAUAAUAAAUGAACCGCCAGUGUAAAGCUCAUCCGAUCACUUGCACCCAAGACUCAAACCAAGCCAAAAGCUUCGCGUCUUGGGCGCUCUCUUACACACAAACAGGUUGUGCUUUUAUUAUUGUAUUCGUUUGCUCUUAUCACGCUCUUGAUACCCUUGCAGAGAGUAUUUCUCAAAAAUAAUACGUGGGUAUAUUAAAAUAUAAUACCAUUACGCACUCGUUUCGUUCUUGUACGUUGCUCGCCCCCCACUCGAUUCGUUGCUUCGAUAUAAUUAAUAUAUUGGAUCGAGACAAAUCGAUCUAGAUAUAGAUCGGAUGACUAAAUCAUUUUGAUAAUAUAGCACGACCAAUGGCUUUCAAGAGUAUCAGUCAGUUCGGCCUUCCUUUCUUUGUAUUUUAUUAUUUUUGUCGUUUUGUUGUGACUCGUUUUCUUUGUCCUCUUUGUAUUUCUGGUUCUCCCUGUGUGUGUGUGUGUGUGUGUAAGCAAUUGCUGGAAAUAAUCAGGCGAAAUAAAAAUAAAAACAAAGCGUUGCAUGUAUGGGCUUUUGGGCCGCAUGGCAACAAGUGAAUUGAACUGUUGCUGACGUUUCUUGACGGUUUCUUUUAUGGCUUCUGUCUUGAUGGCCGAUUCAUGCGAGUGGCGUGUUUCAGUGUUGCCAGCAGCGAUCCAGAAAGCAAGUUUGAGGGAGGAGCACUCAUAGCUGCACCAGGUCAUUCCAAUUCCUGCCAUUGUCUCCAUAUUCUGAUUGAGGUAUCCGUAUCCGCCAGAAACUUGGGCCGAUUCGCAUUGACAGCUUUGUUUUGAGCUUUGAGUAACUUCAGAACCAAUGCUGACGCUGUGCCCACCCUGCCAAUCCAAUGAUGAUAACCUUUAGACACAGCGACGACGACAACAACGACAAUGACAUCGACAACGACAACGACAACGACACCGACGAAAUGGCAAAGACAACAACACAAAUAUUAUUGUUGACGCUGAAUGGGACGGGAGUCUAUUUCUCUGGCCGAGCCCCCCAACAAAGCAUUCAAUAAUAAAUAGCAUUACUUAUGCAUGCACGAAAGAAAUCAAAACAGUCUUAAAUAUGAUGGUUCCAUUGUCUGUUUUCUGCUUAUGCAUGUGUAUGUGCAGGCACGCGCCUUCCUCCCCCUAAUUGCUGCCCAACUCCACUCCCACAUCGAUCAAAGAAUUUGGGGGGCAUUACCUAGCAACACGGGAAAAAUGGCUUACUGUGAUUCCAUUAUCAGUUAAUUGUUUGUUUACUACGUAGUGCCACAAUUUCUGGAACUUUUCAGUGCCCCCCCUAGAUAAGAUUAUUUUAUACUCAAUAGUGAGGGGCAUGACGCUUCGCUUCUAAUGAUCCCAAAAACUGAGUCAUCCCAUUCAGCAAUUGGUGCAGCUGUAGUCAAGCAGCGUUGAUGCCAUUACAUCCACUCCACAGCAGUCCCUAGUCACUGCCCCAGUAUUCCAUGGAAGAGACUAGACCCACAUUAGGGAGCUGCGUCUGUCCAUUACCUUAUACACAUUAUGUGACUGGCGGAACAGUUUAAUCUACACCAGAGCGUGUGCCGUCCCGUCUGGGGGCCGCUUAUCAGCUGCAAACUAUCCUCAGAUUCCAGUUCGAACCGGGUUCCCCGUAUCAGUUUCUGCGCAGUGUCGGGCUUAGAGAAGGGAAACCAACAUAAAAGAUAUGAUUAAUUGGAUAUUUUUAGAAAAAUUGCUGUUUCAAUAAAUGAUGUUUUUUGAAAUCGUACACAAUAUAUAUGACGCUGAUCAGAAUCGGCCAGUGGAAAUGUUUGCAACCGUCGUCAGUCGUAAGUUCUAGAGUUUCGAAUAGAAAAACGAUAAGAUAGGGGACUUUCCUCGUGAUCAGCUCUCACGUCACUAUUACAUUGUAAGCGAUUCGAUUCAGAUCAACCAUUGCCCAAUAUUCGAUAGGCAGUUGUCUUCAAACGAUAGCUUCGCACUCGAUAAGGACUCAGGGGCAAGCAAUCUUCUGAUUGUCCGUAUUCCGUUCAGUGCCGAAUCUAAGGCGGAGGGCCAAGGCUAUUGAACCCCCAUCUAAAACCAGUUUUGAGAAUCUUUUACAAUAAUACCAGAAGUACAGUUCCGUUUCCAAAUUUAUCAUUUUGUUGUGGAAAAUCUGUUGAAUCAGCUGACACGCUUAAUAUCUGUUGCCAAGUGUGCAUAUACAUACGUAUGUAUCACUAUUUAUAUUCCUCGUCAGAGAUAU
Drosophila miranda is the source of this 3306-nucleotide long non-coding RNA. RefSeq lists it as uncharacterized. The record is from RefSeq and is a predicted model, not a curated record. The transcript is spliced from 2 exons. Lineage: Eukaryota; Metazoa; Arthropoda; Insecta; Diptera; Drosophilidae.